This 583-nucleotide ribosomal RNA is filed under the name uncultured bacterium. Its description in RNAcentral is "partial 16S ribosomal RNA". It matches the Rfam family "Bacterial small subunit ribosomal RNA", at positions 355 to 1375 of the family's 1533-position model. The record is from RNAcentral.
UGGGGAAUUUUGGACAAUGGGCGAAAGCCUGAUCCAGCAAUGCCGCGUGUGUGAAGAAGGCCUUCGGGUUGUAAAGCACUUUUGUCCGGAAAGAAAUCCUUGGCUCUAAUACAGUCGGGGGAUGACGGUACCGGAAGAAUAAGCACCGGCUAACUACGUGCCAGCAGCCGCGGUAAUACGUAGGGUGCAAGCGUUAAUCGGAAUUACUGGGCGUAAAGCGUGCGCAGGCGGUUUGCUAAGACCGAUGUGAAAUCCCCGGGCUCAACCUGGGAACUGCAUUGGUGACUGGCAGGCUAGAGUAUGGCAGAGGGGGGUAGAAUUCCACGUGUAGCAGUGAAAUGCGUAGAGAUGUGGAGAAUACCGAUGGCGAAGCAGCCCCCUGGCCAAUACUGACGCUCAUGCACGAAAGCGUGGGGAGCAAACAGGAUUAGAUACCCUGGUAGUACACGCCCUAAAACGAUGUCAACUAGUUGUUGGGGAUUCAUUUCCUUAGUAACGUAGCUAACGCGUGAAGUUGACCGCCUGGGGAGUACGGUCGCAAGAUUAAAACUCAAAUGAAUUGACGGGGUCAUAGCUGUUUCCU